This 320-nucleotide small nuclear RNA is filed under the name Oryctolagus cuniculus (rabbit). Its description in RNAcentral is "7SK RNA". It matches the Rfam family "7SK RNA". From Rfam's summary of the family: 7SK was discovered as an abundant small nuclear RNA in the mid-70s but a possible function has only recently been suggested. Lineage: Eukaryota; Metazoa; Chordata; Mammalia; Lagomorpha; Leporidae. The record is from Rfam by way of RNAcentral.
GAAUGUCAGGGUGGUCUGGCUGCGACACCUGUCACCCCGUUGAUUGCCAGGGUUGAUUCGGCGGAUCUGGCUGGCUGGCUGGCUAGGCGGGUGUCCCCUUCUGCCCUCACCACUCCCGCUGCGUCCCUCCCGAAGCUGCGCGCUCGGUCGAAGAGGACGACCUUCCCCACUAGAGGAGGACCGGUCUUCAUCAAGGGUAUAGGAGUAGCUGCGCUCCCGUGCUCAAACCUCCAAACAAGCGCUCAAGGGGAGGGCAUGAUCUACAGCCUUUAAAAGUUUUUUCCUCAAGGGUCGGCGGUGUAGCUCACUUGGUUACUCCU